This 331-nucleotide unclassified non-coding RNA is filed under the name soil metagenome. RNAcentral's name for it is "partial contains 5.8S ribosomal RNA, internal transcribed spacer 2, and large subunit ribosomal RNA". The stretch from base 1 to 120 matches the Rfam family "5.8S ribosomal RNA", at positions 35 to 154 of the family's 154-position model. The record is from RNAcentral.
GAUGAAGAACGCAGCGAAAUGCGAUAAGUAAUGUGAAUUGCACAAUUCCGUGAAUCAUCGAAUCUUUGAACGCACAUUGCGCCCCCUGGUAUUCCGGGGGGCAUGCCUGUUCGAGCGUCAUUUCACCACUCAAGCCUCGCUUGGUAUUGGGCAACGCGGUCCGCCGCGUGCCUCAAAUCGACCGGCUGGGUCUUCUGUCCCCUAAGCGUUGUGGAAACUAUUCGCUAAAGGGUGUUCGGGAGGCUACGCCGUAAAACAACCCCAUUUCUAAGGUUGACCUCGGAUCAGGUAGGGAUACCCGCUGAACUUAAGCAUAUCAAUAAGCGGAGGA